RNAcentral lists this ribosomal RNA (509 nucleotides) under bacterium. Its description in RNAcentral is "bacterial SSU rRNA". It matches the Rfam family "Bacterial small subunit ribosomal RNA", at positions 54 to 542 of the family's 1533-position model. The record is from RNAcentral.
UUGGCAAGGUUCGAACGGUAGCACAGAGAGCUUGCUCUCGGGUGACGAGUGGCGGACGGGUGAGUAAUGUCUGGGAAACUGCCUGAUGGAGGGGGAUAACUACUGGAAACGGUAGCUAAUACCGCAUAACGUCGCAAGACCAAAGAGGGGGACCUUCGGGCCUCUUGCCAUCAGAUGUGCCCAGAUGGGAUUAGCUAGUAGGUGGGGUAACGGCUCACCUAGGCGACGAUCCCUAGCUGGUCUGAGAGGAUGACCAGCCACACUGGAACUGAGACACGGUCCAGACUCCUACGGGAGGCAGCAGUGGGGAAUAUUGCACAAUGGGCGCAAGCCUGAUGCAGCCAUGCCGCGUGUAUGAAGAAGGCCUUCGGGUUGUAAAGUACUUUUCAGCGGGGAGGAAGGUGUUUGUGGUUAAUAACCGCAGCAAUUGACGUUACCCGCAGAAGAAGCACCGGCUAAACUCCGUUGCCAGCAGCCGCGGGUAAUACGGAGGGUGCAAGCGUUUAAUC